Non-coding RNA from Ruminococcus sp. CAG:108, 144 nucleotides. The record is from Rfam. Lineage: Bacteria; Bacillati; Bacillota; Clostridia; Eubacteriales; Oscillospiraceae.
UGUAUAUAACUUAAUAUGGGUUUACGGUUCAAAAUGCAUCUUGCAGAGUAGAUAACAGAGAAUUCGGUGAGAAUCCGAAGCAACAGUCAUUACUGUAUUUGGCAUUGCCAUAAGUCAGGUCGCUGUCCGUAUGCCUCGGAUUUU